UACGUAGGGUGCAAGCGUUGUCCGGAAUUAUUGGGCGUAAAGAGCUCGUAGGCGGUUUGUCGCGUCGAAUGUGAAAACCCGGGGCUCAACCCCGGGCCUGCAUUCGAUACGGGCAGACUAGAGUUCGGUAGGGGAGAGCGGAACUCCUGGUGUAGCGGUGGAAUGCGCAGAUAUCAGGAAGAACACCGGUGGCGAAGGCGGCUCUCUGGGCCUUACCUGACGCUGAGGAGCGAAAGCGUGGGUAGCGAACAGG
RNAcentral lists this ribosomal RNA (253 nucleotides) under uncultured bacterium. RNAcentral describes it as "partial 16S ribosomal RNA". It matches the Rfam family "Bacterial small subunit ribosomal RNA", at positions 524 to 776 of the family's 1533-position model. The record is from RNAcentral.